AAACCGCGGUGUAGCGCGGA
Molecule: small nuclear RNA, 20 nt
Filed under: Arabidopsis thaliana (thale cress)
Lineage: Eukaryota; Viridiplantae; Streptophyta; Magnoliopsida; Brassicales; Brassicaceae
Description: snRNA_08240
Source: RNAcentral